Acanthosepion pharaonis is the source of this 90-nucleotide non-coding RNA. Lineage: Eukaryota; Metazoa; Mollusca; Cephalopoda; Sepiida; Sepiidae. The record is from the annotation of a GenBank genome assembly.
GAAACACUGGUUCUCUUACGAUUACCGAAGUUAAGCAACGUCGAGCCUGGUCAGUACCUAGAUGGGUGACUGCUUGGGAAUACUAGGUAC